AAAUUAUAAAAGGUUUAUUUAAUUUAAUAAUUUAUUUUUAUUAAUAGAAAUAACUUAUAUUUCAGUAUGUUUUACUGAACUAAUUAAUAUUUUGAUAGUUUAUAGUACUGUGAGGGAAUACUUAGUUUAUAAUAAAAGUAGAAUUUAUUUUUUGUACCUUUUGUAUCAGGGUUAAUUAAUUUUUGAGACUUAUUGUUGUUUUCCCGAAAUAAAGAGAGAUAAAAUUAUAUGUUUUUUAAUGUUUCAUAAUUAUUAAAAAUAUAAUUUUGGUAAUGAUAUGUUAUUCGUUCUUUAUAUAUCUGGUUUUCUUGGAAUUAAAUUUAAUUUAGGAUACAUUUAUUAAUUUAAUAACUUUUUGUUAAUUUUAUUUUUGUAUCAGAUGCUUUUGGGGAUAAGCUCAAUAGUAGAUUUAUAACUUUUGUAUAUUAGUGGUUUAUGUAGGCCUAGAAUCAGCCGUCAUUAAUUUCGUUAUAGAAUAACCCAUAGUUUUAUUUAUUUGAUUAUUUUGUUUAAUUUUUUACAGGAACUAAUUAAUUAAUUUAUAAUUAAUUGUGAUAAUGAUUAAAUUAGUAUAUUAGUCAAUUAAGUUAUAGUAACUCGGCAAAUAUUGUAUUCGCCUGUUUAACAAAAACAUGUCCUUUUGUUUAUAAAUAUAAGGUCUGACCUGCCCAAUGAUUUUAUUUAAUGGCCGCGGUAUAUUAACUGUGCUAAGGUAGCAUAAUCAUUUGUCUUUUAAUUGAAGGCUAGAAUGAAUGGUUGGACGAGAUACAAACUUUCUUUAAUUUAUUUUUUGAAUUUAAUUUUUUAGUUAAAAAGCUGAAAUGUGUUUGAGGGACGAGAAGACCCUAUAGAUCUUUAUAUAUUAAUAUUUUAUAUAUUUUAGUGAAUUAAUUGUGAUAAUAUAUUAAUAUAUUUGGUUGGGGCGACUGUGGAAUUUAAAUAACUUCCAUUUUUAUUUAUCAUUAAUUAGUGUUUGAUUGAUCCAUUAUUAUUGAUUAAAAGAUUAAGUUACCUUAGGGAUAACAGCGUAAUUUUUUCGGAGAGUUCUUAUCGAUGAAGGAGUUUGCGACCUCGAUGUUGGAUUAAAAUAAGUUGUAGGUGUAGGAGUUUACAUACUAGGUCUGUUCGACCUUUAAUAUUUUACAUGAUCUGAGUUCAGACCGGCGUAAGCCAGGUCAGUUUCUAUCUUCAAAAGUUUAAUUAAAUUUUAGUACGAAAGGACCGAAUUUAAGAAAAAUUUUUUAUUGAAUAUGAUUAAUAUUAAUAUUAC
This 1270-nucleotide ribosomal RNA is filed under the name Sycanus bifidus. Its description in RNAcentral is "Sycanus croceovittatus 16S ribosomal RNA". The stretch from base 804 to 1196 matches the Rfam family "Bacterial large subunit ribosomal RNA", at positions 2049 to 2651 of the family's 2925-position model. The record is from RNAcentral. Lineage: Eukaryota; Metazoa; Arthropoda; Insecta; Hemiptera; Reduviidae.